Passer domesticus (house sparrow) is the source of this 1554-nucleotide long non-coding RNA. RefSeq lists it as uncharacterized. Lineage: Eukaryota; Metazoa; Chordata; Aves; Passeriformes; Passeridae. The record is from RefSeq and is a predicted model, not a curated record. The transcript is spliced from 2 exons.
GCCUUCUGAUGUGGUGAGGUGUUACUCUGUAUGGGUUGUGUUUUUUUUGAUAUUGUAUGGUAAUACUCUGUGUAUUGUGGCUGUCUCAGCUGUGACCUAUGCUGUAACAGGACUGGUCACAACCAAGGAAAAUCCUUUCAGGUCAUCUAGAGCAUAAAGAGCUUGAUCCAGCACUGUGCAUGUGAACUUCUCUACCCAGAAGGAUGGAAGAUCAUCCCAGUGUCAGGGACUGCAUCCUCUUGCAUUCUAGAGUAGAACUAUUGCAUCCACCUUGGUGCUGGUCUUCCCACCUUCUCACUUUUUGCUGGAGCUGUGUCUCAGCACCAAAGACCAUGACCAGCAGCAGAGUGGGGUUUAUAUAACUACAGUCUCUGGUUUCAGGCUGUGACUUCUGCACAUGUGGGAAGUCAGCUGCCUUAACUAUUGAGGAAAUAAUUCUUAUAAACCUUCCUUGCAUGUCUGUCCUGAUGCUCCUUCUGAUGCUGUACCCCAGCCAAAAUGGCACUAUCAGCCUGGACACUCCCAGCCUGGUGGGCUCUAGCCCAAGCAGAAGGGACUCAGCUCUUACAAACGGGAUGUCUGGAUGCCACGAGGGCACUUCACUGCACUGUGCAGCCUUGGCAUGUUCAUUGCAAAAUAUCCUCAUGGCUCACUGGGCAGAAAGUACCUGUGGUACUACCAGAAGGCAUCAACUCAACAAAUGAAUUAUUGAGUAAAACUCUAUGGUCAGACUAAGUAAUCACAAGGAUCUCUUCUGCCCCUAAAAUCUAUUAUCUUAAUUCUCUUUUACCCUAAGGCCAUUUUACACCCCUCUAGCAACAUAAAUGGACCUUAAGGGUUGAAUAUUUAUAUCCCCUUUGAGGUAUUUUUCUGUUGCCAGAGUGAUGCCUCAGAAACCUUUGUGCAAAUGAAAAUAAGGAGCUCAGAGUCCCUCAAUUGCCAUGCUGGAAGUUGGCUCAGGGGCUGGGGUUUUGCUUGGUUCUGUGGUUUUCCAUGUCUGAUCAAUACAUGUAGACUGUUUGGGAGUCCUUGUUUCAGUAUUUUAUUAACAUUGAUUCAUGUAACUUUGUUUAUGCCUUUUGUGGUGGGGAUUGGCUACUUAAUGGCAUAACCAAUUAACCACCUGCCUUUGGCAUAGUGUAAAAUCAAGGUGUAUAUUUUUCCAACACAUGCUGUGAAAUCAUACCAACCUGUGGAGGUGUGAAAAGAAACCAAAUAGUUAAUCUAAAAUGGUCUGGACUGUAAUCUUGGAAGCAAGUCCUAAUGGCUCUCAGCCAGACAUCAGAUGUUUCUGGGGUGUUGGUGAAUCUCUGCUGGUGAGAAUCUGAGUGGCACAAGGAGCUGAGUUUGAAAGUAUAACAACUUGACCUGGGUUACCUGUUAUUGUUAUUGUGGUUAUGUGUCCAAAUUGGGGUUUCUCCAUUAAAACCUGCAGUAGCAUGGCCCUGAUAUGCACUAUACAUGCACACUCUAGGAGCAGCUUUAUCUUUCUUGUGGUUUAAAUGUAAUCCAAUAAUAAACAAAAAUUCCUGGUGGGUUCUUGGAUUAGAUGAA